Molecule: ribosomal RNA, 465 nt
Filed under: Vreelandella stevensii
Lineage: Bacteria; Pseudomonadati; Pseudomonadota; Gammaproteobacteria; Oceanospirillales; Halomonadaceae
Description: partial 16S ribosomal RNA
Rfam family: Bacterial small subunit ribosomal RNA
Source: RNAcentral
CCUACGGGAGGCUGCAGUGGGGAAUAUUGGACAAUGGGGGCAACCCUGAUCCAGCCAUGCCGCGUGUGUGAAGAAGGCCCUCGGGUUGUAAAGCACUUUCAGUGAGGAAGAACGCCUUGUGGUUAAUACCCAUCAGGAAAGACAUCACUCACAGAAGAAGCACCGGCUAACUCCGUGCCAGCAGCCGCGGUAAUACGGAGGGUGCGAGCGUUAAUCGGAAUUACUGGGCGUAAAGCGCGCGUAGGUGGCUUGAUAAGCCGGUUGUGAAAGCCCCGGGCUCAACCUGGGAACGGCAUCCGGAACUGUCAAGCUAGAGUGCAGGAGAGGAAGGUAGAAUUCCCGGUGUAGCGGUGAAAUGCGUAGAGAUCGGGAGGAAUACCAGUGGCGAAGGCGGCCUUCUGGACUGACACUGACACUGAGGUGCGAAAGCGUGGGUAGCAAACAGGAUUAGAUACCCGUGUAGUC